ACGGACCAAGGAGUUUAGCGUGUGCGCGAGUCACUGGGUGGAAAACCCAAAGGCGGAAUGAAAGUGAAAGGGGCCUCUGGCCCCCGAGGGAAGAUGGGCGUCCGUCCUUCGCAGGCGGCGCCCCGCACUCCCGGGGCGUCUCUUUCUCGUUACGAGUGGAGGCGCACCUGUAGCGCACACGCUGAUACCCGAAAGAUGGUGAACUAUGCCUGGCCAGGACGAAGCCAGGGGAAACCCUGGUGGAGGUCCGCAGCGAUUCUGACGUGCAAAUCGAUCGUCGGAGCUGGGUAUAGGGGCGAAAGACCAAUCGAACCAUCUAGUAGCUGGUUCCUUCCGAA
Molecule: ribosomal RNA, 338 nt
Filed under: Cimex hirundinis
Lineage: Eukaryota; Metazoa; Arthropoda; Insecta; Hemiptera; Cimicidae
Description: Oeciacus hirundinis partial 28S ribosomal RNA
Rfam family: Eukaryotic large subunit ribosomal RNA
Source: RNAcentral